This 52-nucleotide transfer RNA is filed under the name Pseudobiotus sp. SHR-2005. RNAcentral describes it as "tRNA-Cys". Lineage: Eukaryota; Metazoa; Tardigrada; Eutardigrada; Parachela; Doryphoribiidae. The record is from RNAcentral.
UUUGUUUUAGAGAUACUUCAGUUGCAAACUGAAGGGACCUUUUUAGGCUAAA